GUCCACGCCCUAAACGAUGCGAACUGGACGUUGGAUGCAACUAGGCAUUCAGUGUCGAAGCUAACGCGUUAAGUUCGCCGCCUGGGGAGUACGGUCGCAAGACUGAAACUCAAAGGAAUUGACGGGGGCCCCGCACAAGCGGUGGAGUAUGUGGUUUAAUUCGAUGCAACGCGCAGAACCUUACCUGGUCUUGACAUCCACGGAACUGCCCAGAGAUGGGCGGGUGCCUUCGGGAACCGUGAGACAGGUGCUGCAUGGCUGUCGU
RNAcentral lists this ribosomal RNA (265 nucleotides) under uncultured bacterium. RNAcentral describes it as "partial 16S ribosomal RNA". It matches the Rfam family "Bacterial small subunit ribosomal RNA", at positions 793 to 1055 of the family's 1533-position model. The record is from RNAcentral.